This 512-nucleotide ribosomal RNA is filed under the name uncultured bacterium. RNAcentral describes it as "partial 16S ribosomal RNA". It matches the Rfam family "Bacterial small subunit ribosomal RNA", at positions 28 to 507 of the family's 1533-position model. The record is from RNAcentral.
GACGAACGCUGGCGGCGUGCCUAAUACAUGCAAGUCGAGCGAGCGGAACUAACAGAUUUACUUCGGUAAUGACGUUAGGAAAGCGAGCGGCGGAUGGGUGAGUAACACGUGGGGAACCUGCCCCAUAGUCUGGGAUACCACUUGGAAACAGGUGCUAAUACCGGAUAAGAAAGCAGAUCGCAUGAUCAGCUUUUAAAAGGCGGCGUAAGCUGUCGCUAUGGGAUGGCCCCGCGGUGCAUUAGCUAGUUGGUAAGGUAAAGGCUUACCAAGGCGAUGAUGCAUAGCCGAGUUGAGAGACUGAUCGGCCACAUUGGGACUGAGACACGGCCCAAACUCCUACGGGAGGCAGCAGUAGGGAAUCUUCCACAAUGGACGCAAGUCUGAUGGAGCAACGCCGCGUGAGUGAAGAAGGUUUUCGGAUCGUAAAGCUCUGUUGUUGGUGAAGAAGGAUAGAGGUAGUAACUGGCCUCUAUUUGACGGUAAUCAACCAGAAAGUCACGGCUAACUACGUG